UGGGGAAUAUUGGACAAUGGGCGCAAGCCUGAUCCAGCAAUGCCGCGUGAGUGAUGAAGGCCUUAGGGUUGUAAAGCUCUUUUACCUGGGAUGAUAAUGACAGUACCGGGAGAAUAAGCUCCGGCUAACUCCGUGCCAGCAGCCGCGGUAAUACGGAGGGAGCUAGCGUUAUUCGGAAUUACUGGGCGUAAAGCGCACGUAGGCGGCUUUGUAAGUAAGAGGUGAAAGCCUGGAGCUCAACUCCAGAAUUGCCUUUUAGACUGCAUCGCUCGAAUCAUGGAGAGGUCAGUGGAAUUCCGAGUGUAGAGGUGAAAUUCGUAGAUAUUCGGAAGAACACCAGUGGCGAAGGCGGCUGACUGGACAUGUAUUGACGCUGAGGUGCGAAAGCGUGGGGAGCAAACAG
RNAcentral lists this ribosomal RNA (403 nucleotides) under uncultured bacterium. Its description in RNAcentral is "bacterial SSU rRNA". It matches the Rfam family "Bacterial small subunit ribosomal RNA", at positions 355 to 775 of the family's 1533-position model. The record is from RNAcentral.